UGGGUGACCUGCCCUCAGCUCUGGGAUAAGCCUGGGAAACUGGGUCUAAUACUGGAUAUUCACUUCUCAUCGCAUGGUGGGUGGUGGAAAGUUUUUUCGGCUGGGGAUGGGCCCGCGGCCUAUCAGCUUGUUGGUGGGGUGAUGGCCUACCAAGGCGACGACGGGUAGCCGGCCUGAGAGGGCGUCCGGCCACACUGGGACUGAGACACGGCCCAGACUCCUACGGGAG
RNAcentral lists this ribosomal RNA (229 nucleotides) under uncultured bacterium. Its description in RNAcentral is "partial 16S ribosomal RNA". It matches the Rfam family "Bacterial small subunit ribosomal RNA", at positions 118 to 347 of the family's 1533-position model. The record is from RNAcentral.